GGCGAGGUAGCUCAGUAGGUUAGAGCAACGGAAUCAUAAUCCGUGUGUCGUGGGUUCGAAUCCCUCCCUCGCUA
RNAcentral lists this transfer RNA (74 nucleotides) under Ignavibacteriaceae bacterium. RNAcentral describes it as "tRNA-Met". It matches the Rfam family "tRNA". From Rfam's summary of the family: Transfer RNA (tRNA) molecules are approximately 80 nucleotides in length. Their secondary structure includes four short double-helical elements and three loops (D, anti-codon, and T loops). Further hydrogen bonds mediate the characteristic L-shaped molecular structure. tRNAs have two regions of fundamental functional importance: the anti-codon, which is responsible for specific mRNA codon recognition, and the 3' end, to which the tRNAs corresponding amino acid is attached (by aminoacyl-tRNA synthetases). tRNAs cope with the degeneracy of the genetic code in two manners: having more than one tRNA (with a specific anti-codon) for a particular amino acid; and 'wobble' base-pairing, i.e. permitting non-standard base-pairing at the 3rd anti-codon position. The record is from RNAcentral. Lineage: Bacteria; Pseudomonadati; Ignavibacteriota; Ignavibacteria; Ignavibacteriales; Ignavibacteriaceae.